GGCAGAGGAAGUCCUGCAGACAGACAAACUGCUGGUCGUCUUCAGCAUGAUGAAAAUACAUGUGUACACUUGUCUUCUCUCUGUCUUAACUUUGGUGGAGAUGAAGACUAUCAACACAAAUGGACGUGUUGGGUCAAAUCUGAUCAUCAAAUGCUCACACUGGAACCUUUGGGGUCACGAGAAAGAAAAUGUGAAGUACUUCUGUCGAAGUCCCUGCAACGACAAAGACGUCAUGUAAAAGCAGAAUAUAGAAAGACCAAACGUAAAAAUCAGAUUGAGUUAGAAAACAGUGGAAACUAUUUAUUUGUGACCUUCUUAAAUCUCAAAAGUCAGACUCUGGGAAAUAUUACUGUGGGCUGGAGAGAUUUGGCCGUGAUCCAUUGAUAGAGGUGAAUGUUGAAGUCAAGAAUGCUGAACCUUCUAGUCCUCUGAAGACUCCAAACCCAGUCUUUGUUACUGAUACAACCAGUCCGCCUACAUCUACAAAUGUCCCUACUGUUUUUACUGACAUGUCUACAAACCAAUCCCUGCUUACAGCAGCACCUUAUGCAUCACCUACAACAGGAGCUGGUAUGAAGUGCAUCAGUAUAAAUGACAUAUUGCUUU
Notolabrus celidotus (New Zealand spotty) is the source of this 606-nucleotide long non-coding RNA. RefSeq lists it as uncharacterized. The transcript has 3 exons. NCBI's taxonomy places the organism in Eukaryota, Metazoa, Chordata, Actinopteri, Labriformes, Labridae. The record is from RefSeq and is a predicted model, not a curated record.